This is a long non-coding RNA of Zonotrichia albicollis (white-throated sparrow), 2322 nucleotides long. NCBI's taxonomy places the organism in Eukaryota, Metazoa, Chordata, Aves, Passeriformes, Passerellidae. The record is from Ensembl.
AUGAGAAUCAGAACUCCCAAUGACAACCACACUUCCCAAGGACAAUCAGAAUUCCCAGGGGACAAUCCCAGGGGACAACCCCAGCAUUCUCAGGGGACAACCCCAGCUCCCAGGAGACACUCCCAGGGGACAGUCCCUGCUUCCAGGGGACAAUCCAGCAUUCCCAAGGACAAUCCCAUCUCCCAGGGGACAGUCAGAACUCCCAGGGGACAACCAGAAUUCCCAGGGGACAAUCCCAACUCCCAAGGACAAUCCCAACUCCCAGGGACAACCACACUUUUCAAGGACAACCCCAGCUCUCCCAGGGGACAUUCCCAGGGGACAAUCCCAGCUCCCAAGAACAACCACAAUUCCCAAGGACAACCAGAAUUUCCAGGGGACAAUCCCAGCAUUCCCAAGGACAAUCCCAGCACUCCCAGGGGACAAUCCCAGCUCUCAAGGACAACCCCUGCUCCCAUGGGACAAUCACAGGGGACAGUCCCUGCUUCCAGGGGACAAUCCAGCAUUCCCAAGGACAACCCCAGCAUUCCCAGGGGACAUUCCCAGGGGACAACCCCAGAUCUCAAGGAACAACCCCAGCAUUCCCAGGGGACAAUCCCAGCUCCCAGGGAACAAUCACAACUCCCAAGAACAACCACACUUCAAGGACAAUCCCAACUCCCAGGGGACAAUCCCAGGGAACAAUCCCAGGGGACAGUCCCUGCUCCCAGGGGACAAUCCCAGCAUUUCCAAGGACAAUCCCAGCUCUCAAGGACAACCCCAUCUCCCAGGGAACACUCCCAGGGGACAAUCCCAUCUUCCAGGGGACAAUCCCAGCACUCCCAGGGUACCCUCCCAGGGACAGUCCCUGCUCCCAGGGGACAUUCCCAAGAACAACCCCAGCAUUCCCAAGGACACUCCCAGCUCCUAGGGGACAUUCCCAAGGACCCUCCCAUCUCCCAGGGUACCCUCCAGGGACAGCCCCCACUCACCCAGCACCUUGGUGACCCUCAGCAGUUUCCUGCCUCUCCCAGCAGCCUGGGCAGGGCCGGGGGUGCCCGGCACGUUNUCCCCGCUCUGCUGCAGCCUCAGCGCCUUCUCCCUCUUGAUCUCCUCCAGGGUUUUGAUCCGAACCUCUGCAGCUCCCCUGGCCCUGCCAGCCUGUGCCAGCUGCACCCUGCCAGCAGCUGGGGCACCGAGGUUCUGUCUCCUGGCAUCUCCCUCGCUUCUGGCCCUGCUGCUCAACUCCUCAGCUUUCUCCUUCUCCUCUCCCAACCUUUUGUGGUUUUUUUCCACCAAGGCUCCCAUCAGGGAUUUGCUGCGAGCAGCAGGGGAAGGUUUGGCUGCUGAAUUUGGUUCUUCAGUUUUCCUUCCUUCUGCUGGGAUUUUGGCUGGGGGUUCUCCUGCUCUCCUCUGCUUGGCUCUCUCCAGGCGGAUUUCCUCCAGGGUUUUCACUCUGAUCUCCUCGAUGGGUUUGGCAGCUUGGUCUGAAAAAAUCCAGGAGUGAAACAGAGAAGGGGGAAAAUCUCCAGAGGGAAUUUGGGAUUGAGGGCUCUCAGUGAUCCUUGGGUUGAAGGAUUUGGAGGAGCAUCCAGGGACACUUUUCCCUUAUCCCAGGUGGCUGCAAACAGGACUGGGACACUCCAGGGAUGGGGAAAACACAAAUUCUCUGGGAAUGAGUGUGGAGUGCUGAAAUUGGGAUUUUUUAAUGGAAUAAUGGAAUGGUUUGGGUUGGAAGAUCUUAAGGAUGAUCCCAUUCCCACCCCACGGUCCCAGGGAGCCCCAAACCCCAUCCAGGCCUGGGAUGGGGCAGCCACGGAUUCUCUGGGAAUGAAUCAAUUCUGAAAUUGGGAUUUUUUUUUCUCUAGGAAUGAAUCAAUUCUGAAAUUGGGGUUUUUUUAUGGGAUUCUCUGGGAAUGAAUCAAUUCUGAAAUUGGGAUUUUUUUACAGAAUUAUGGAAUGGUUUGGGUUGGAAGAUCCUAAGGAUCAUCCCAUUCCCAGCCCUGUCAUUUCCCAUGGUCCCUUGAUCCCAAACCCCAUCCAGCCCUGGGAUGGGGCAGCCACGGAUUCUAUGGGAAUUUGCAGGCUGGGAAUGAGUCUGGAAUCCUGAAAUUGGGAUUUUUUAAUGGAAUUAUGGAAUGGUUUGGGUUGGAAGAUCCUAAGGAUGAUCCCAUUCCCACCCCAUGGUGCCAGGGUGCCCCAAACCCCAUCCAGGCCUGGGAUGGGGCAGCCAUGGAUUCCCUGGGAAUGAAUCAAUUCUGAAAUUGGGAUUUUUUUUUAAUGGGAUUCUCUGGGAAUGAAUCAAUUCUGAAAUUGGGAUUUUUUUACAGAAUUAUGGAACGG